This 644-nucleotide ribosomal RNA is filed under the name uncultured archaeon. RNAcentral describes it as "bacterial SSU rRNA". It matches the Rfam family "Archaeal small subunit ribosomal RNA", at positions 152 to 794 of the family's 1478-position model. The record is from RNAcentral.
CCGGAUAACGCAUAUAUGCUGGAAUGCUUUAUGCGUAAAAUGGAUUCGUCUGCCCAAGGAUGGGUCUGCGGCCUAUCAGGUAGUAGUGGGUGUAAUGUACCUACUAGCCUACAACGGGUACGGGUGGUGAGAGCAAGAGCCCGGAGAUGGAUUCUGAGACAUGAAUCCAGGCCCUACGGGGCGCAGCAGGCGCGAAAACUUUACAAUGCGGGAAACCGUGAUAAGGGGACACCGAGUGCCAGCAUCAUAUGCUGGCUGUCCAGAUGUGUAAAAUACAUCUGUUAGCAAGGGCCGGGCAAGACCGGUGCCAGCCGCCGCGGUAACACCGGCGGCCCGAGUGGUGAUCGUGAUUAUUGGGUCUAAAGGGUCCGUAGCCGGUUUGGUCAGUCCUCCGGGAAAUCUGAUGGCUCAACCAUUAGGCUUUCGGGGGAUACUGCCAGGCUUGGAACCGGGAGAGGUAAGAGGUACUACAGGGGUAGGAGUGAAAUCUUGUAAUCCCUGUGAGACCACCUGUGGCGAAGGCGUCUUACCAGAACGGGUUCGACGGUGAGGGACGAAAGCUGGGGGCACGAACCGGAUUAGAUACCCGGGUAGUCCCAGCCGUAAACGAUGCUCGCUAGGUGUCAGGCAUGGCGCGACCGUGU